AUUGAACGCUGGCGGCAGGCCUAACACAUGCAAGUCGAGCGGAUGAAGGGAGCUUGCUCCUGGAUUCAGCGGCGGACGGGUGAGUAAUGCCUAGGAAUCUGCCUGGUAGUGGGGGAUAACGUCCGGAAACGGGCGCUAUUACCGCAUACGUCCUGAGGGAGAAAGUGGGGGAUCUUCGGACCUCACGCUAUCAGAUGAGCCUAGGUCGGAUUAGCUAGUUGGUGGGGUAAAGGCCUACCAAGGCGACGAUCCGUAACUGGUCUGAGAGGAUGAUCAGUCACACUGGAACUGAGACACGGUCCAGACUCCUACGGGAGGCAGCAGUGGGGAAUAUUGGACAAAGGGCGAAAGCCUGAUCCAGCCAUGCCGCGUGUGUGAAGAAGGUCUUCGGAUUGUAAAGCACUUUAAGUUGGGAGGAAGGGCAGUAAGUUAAUACCUUGCUGUUUUGACGUUACCAACAGAAUGAGCACCGGCUAACUUCGUG
Molecule: ribosomal RNA, 484 nt
Filed under: uncultured bacterium
Lineage: Bacteria
Description: partial 16S ribosomal RNA
Rfam family: Bacterial small subunit ribosomal RNA
Source: RNAcentral